Molecule: ribosomal RNA, 253 nt
Filed under: uncultured bacterium
Lineage: Bacteria
Description: partial 16S ribosomal RNA
Rfam family: Bacterial small subunit ribosomal RNA
Source: RNAcentral
UACGUAGGUGGCGAGCGUUGUCCGGAUUUAUUGGGUUUAAAGGGUGCGUAGGCGGCUUGAUAAGUCAGUGGUGAAAUACUCCAGCUUAACUGGAGGGGUGCCAUUGAUACUGUUGAGCUUGAGUACAGAUGAGGUAGGCGGAAUUGACGGUGUAGCGGUGAAAUGCAUAGAUAUCGUCAAGAACACCGAUAGCGAAGGCAGCUUACUGGGCUGUAACUGACGCUGAGACGCGAAAGCGUGGGGAGCAAACAGG